AAAAGAAACGAGAGCUGGGGGGUCAUCCUUGUGGCUUUUCCGGAGCUGAAAAGCGCCUCGCCCUGAAAAUACAAACCCAGAGCCCAGGCAGCGGGUCGUCGUGGGGCCAGCACCCCUCGGGGCUCCGGUCGUGUCCUGAGGCACUCGGGACUGUCCGGACCCCCUGGGCCCUUGUUUCAAGAGUUGGCAGUGAUCCAUCUGCCCUAAAUGAUCCCUAAAUGUUUAGGGACAGUUAGGCAGUGUCCCUAAAUAUUUAGGGACAAUACUUGUGAUUUCCGGGGCUCAGCACCUGCUCUUGGAUCUUCUCAAGGCCUGCUAGAUUUCAGAAUCUCAAAGGUUUGGCCACUGCACUCCCAACCCCUAAGGAAAGGAUGGGAGAUGAAUUAUUAAAGGACACCGGGGCCAUUAGCAUAUCGGGCGUCACUUCUCUGGGGCCCUUGCCCUUGAGCAACUGAAUGUUUUAUUGAAGAGGAAAAAACAUGCACGAAAAAGGAGUGGCCAGUCCCCUCUAUGGCAUUUUCGUGCUGGUGUUUCAGACACCCAAGAAUCUGAAUAAAAAUUUUAGGAUACUUGGGCCCAGCCAGAGGAAGCAAGGACUGGGUGAAAUGCUCUGUAUGGUAAAGAAAAAUGGAAUUUUGAAUUUACAAGAAGACCAAGAGUCAAAAUGAGGUACCCUGAGAACACAUUAAAGAUUUUAACAAAACUGACGAGUGUCUAAUGUGAGAGUGGCCUAGGAAAAGACUGGAAAGCCAAGGCUUACAGGGGAACUAAACAGUGAGAAAAUCCUGAUCAUAUGAUAGAGUUCAGGGUUUGGCAUUUUUCUUCUGAAGGACCAGAUAGUAAGUCUUGGUCUGUGUAGCUUCUACUCAAUUCUGCUGUUAGAGCAUGAAAGCAGCCAUAAAUAGGCUAACAGUGGGGGAGGCUGGGUUCCAAUACCUAUAUUUACAAAACAGUCACUUUUUAGUCCAUUGAUUUCUAAUAUUCACUUCUACGUGUGUGCCACUUCGGUACACAUAGUUUGGUAAUUUCCCUUUUCACCCCGGUCCUGUAGCAAACAGCUAAACAGUGACCACCCAACAGCUAUGGUAGUAGGCUGGUACUUUGACUAGGUGGCAUGCAGGGAUGAGGUGUGGUGACAAGCCCCUGUUGGGGAGGACAGGAAACAGGAAGGAGAGAGCAGUCCUAGGAGACCUGGUGAGGCAGAGAAUUCAGUGGGAGCCAGAAAGCAGGGGGAGGUAAAUGCGAAGUCUCCACAGGAUCCCCAGGUGAUCCUGCACAUUUAAGGGAAGGGGGAGCCA
This 1298-nucleotide long non-coding RNA is filed under the name Lynx canadensis (Canada lynx). RNAcentral's name for it is "lncRNA (ENSLCNG00005017481.1)". The record is from RNAcentral. Lineage: Eukaryota; Metazoa; Chordata; Mammalia; Carnivora; Felidae.